This 354-nucleotide ribosomal RNA is filed under the name Bacillus sp. LS-4C. RNAcentral's name for it is "bacterial SSU rRNA". It matches the Rfam family "Bacterial small subunit ribosomal RNA", at positions 799 to 1151 of the family's 1533-position model. The record is from RNAcentral. Lineage: Bacteria; Bacillati; Bacillota; Bacilli; Caryophanales; Bacillaceae. RNAcentral also lists the same sequence under 1 other name.
GCCGUAAACGAUGAGUGCUAGGUGUUAGGGGUUUCGAUGCCCUUAGUGCCGAAGUUAACACAUUAAGCACUCCGCCUGGGGAGUACGGCCGCAAGGCUGAAACUCAAAGGAAUUGACGGGGGCCCGCACAAGCAGUGGAGCAUGUGGUUUAAUUCGAAGCAACGCGAAGAACCUUACCAGGUCUUGACAUCCUCUGCCACUCCUAGAGAUAGGACGUUCCCCUUCGGGGGACAGAGUGACAGGUGGUGCAUGGUUGUCGUCAGCUCGUGUCGUGAGAUGUUGGGUUAAGUCCCGCAACGAGCGCAACCCUUGACCUUAGUUGCCAGCAUUUAGUUGGGCACUCUAAGGUGACUG